Molecule: ribosomal RNA, 399 nt
Filed under: uncultured Enterococcus sp.
Lineage: Bacteria; Bacillati; Bacillota; Bacilli; Lactobacillales; Enterococcaceae
Description: bacterial LSU rRNA
Rfam family: Bacterial large subunit ribosomal RNA
Source: RNAcentral
CGGCCGCGUCGACAAAGAGUGCGUAAUAGCUCACUAGUCGAGUGACCCUGCGCCGAAAAUUUACCGGGGCUAAACAUAACACCGAAGCUGUGGAUAGAACUUAGGUUCUAUGGUAGGAGAGCGUUCUAAGGGCAUCGAAGCUAGACCGUGAGGACUGGUGGAGCGCUUAGAAGUGAGAAUGCCGGUAUGAGUAGCGAAAGACGGGUGAGAAUCCCGUCCACCGAAUGACUAAGGUUUCCUGGGGAAGGCUCGUCCUCCCAGGGUUAGUCGGGACCUAAGUCGAGGCCGAUAGGCGUAGACGAUGGAUAACAGGUUGAGAUUCCUGUACCCGUUUGUUUUGUUUGAGCAAUGGAGGGACACAGUAGGCUAAGGAAUACGCACUCUUUGUCGACGCGGCCG